CGGCAUGACGGGAAAUGUAGUCCGCUCCGCAGAACAGCUGACUGACGGCUCAGCGUCACGUGACUGGCAGUGUCAGGAGAAGGCCGCCAUGUUGGUGGAGGAAAGAGGAUGUAUAUAGGAGUGCCUAGGGAAGGGUGAUGUCAUCAUUCUGGCCAAAUCUUGG
This is a long non-coding RNA of Rana temporaria (common frog), 163 nucleotides long. RefSeq lists it as uncharacterized. The transcript is spliced from 2 exons. NCBI's taxonomy places the organism in Eukaryota, Metazoa, Chordata, Amphibia, Anura, Ranidae. The record is from RefSeq and is a predicted model, not a curated record.